AACAAACGCUGGCGGCGUGCCUAAUACAUGCAAGUCGAACGAAGAAAGUACUUCGGUACGAGUAAGAGUGGCGCACGGGUGAGUAACGCGUGGAUAAUCUGCCCUGGAGUGGGGAACAACCUAUCGAAAGGUAGGCUAAUACCGCAUAAGACCACAGAAGCUGCGGCUUCAGUGGUCAAAGAUUUAUCGCUCCUGGAUGAGUCCGCGUAAGAUUAGCUUGUUGGUGAGGUAAUGGCUCACCAAGGCUCCGAUCUUUAACUGGUUUGAGAGGAUGAUCAGUCACACUGGAACUGAGACACGGUCCAGACUCCUACGGGAGGCAGCAGUAGGGAAUAUUGCGCAAUGGGGGAAACCCUGACGCAGCGACGCCGCGUGUGUGAUGAAGGCUUUAGGGUCGUAAAGCACUGUCGUAGAGGAAUAACACAAUGAAGGUACUCUACAAGAAAGGACCGGCUAACUUCG
This 462-nucleotide ribosomal RNA is filed under the name uncultured Bdellovibrio sp. RNAcentral's name for it is "bacterial SSU rRNA". It matches the Rfam family "Bacterial small subunit ribosomal RNA", at positions 29 to 505 of the family's 1533-position model. Lineage: Bacteria; Pseudomonadati; Bdellovibrionota; Bdellovibrionia; Bdellovibrionales; Pseudobdellovibrionaceae. The record is from RNAcentral.